CCUACAGGGGGCAGCAGUGGGGAAUAUUGGACAAUGGGGGGAACCCUGAUCCAGCCAUGCCGCGUGUGUGAAGAAGGCCCUCGGGUUGUAAAGCACUUUCAGUGAGGAAGAACGCCUGGUGGUUAAUACCCAUCAGGAAAGACAUCACUCACAGAAGAAGCACCGGCUAACUCCGUGCCAGCAGCCGCGGUAAUACGGAGGGUGCGAGCGUUAAUCGGAAUUACUGGGCGUAAAGCGCGCGUAGGUGGCUUGAUAAGCCGGUUGUGAAAGCCCCGGGCUCAACCUGGGAACGGCAUCCGGAACUGUCAAGCUAGAGUGCAGGAGAGGAAGGUAGAAUUCCCGGUGUAGCGGUGAAAUGCGUAGAGAUCGGGAGGAAUACCCGUGGCGAAGGCGGCCUUCUGGACUGACACUGACACUGAGGUGCGAAAGCGUGGGUAGCAAACAGGAUUAGAUACCCCAGUAGUC
RNAcentral lists this ribosomal RNA (465 nucleotides) under Vreelandella stevensii. Its description in RNAcentral is "partial 16S ribosomal RNA". It matches the Rfam family "Bacterial small subunit ribosomal RNA", at positions 338 to 795 of the family's 1533-position model. The record is from RNAcentral. Lineage: Bacteria; Pseudomonadati; Pseudomonadota; Gammaproteobacteria; Oceanospirillales; Halomonadaceae.